Molecule: ribosomal RNA, 629 nt
Filed under: Hepatozoon erhardovae
Lineage: Eukaryota; Apicomplexa; Hepatozoidae
Description: bacterial SSU rRNA
Rfam family: Eukaryotic small subunit ribosomal RNA
Source: RNAcentral
GAAAAUCUCAACUGUUUUAGAAGAGAAGCAUUUAUUAGAUAAAAAACCAAUAUAUGUUUUUAAAGCAUAAAAAUUGGUGAUAUACAAUAACUAAGCAAAUCGCACAGUGCAAACUGGCGAUAAAUCAUUCAAGUUUCUGACCUAUCAGCUUUCGACGGUAAGGUAUUGGCUUACCGUGGCAGUGACGGUUAACGGGGAAUUAGGGUUCAAUUCCGGAGAGGGAGCCUGAGAAACGGCUACCACAUCUAAGGAAGGCAGCAGGCGCGCAAAUUACCCAAUUCUAACAGCAUAAGAGAGGUAGUGACAAGAAAUAACAGUACAAGGCAGUUAAAAUGCUUUGUAAUUGGAAUGAUAGAAAUUUAAAUACUUUUUAAAGUAUCAAUUGGAGGGCAAGUCUGGUGCCAGCAGCCGCGGUAAUUCCAGCUCCAAUAGCGUAUAUUAAAAUUGUUGCAGUUAAAAAGCUCGUAGUUGAAUUUUUGCUAGAAAUAACCGGUCUGCUUUUAUUUAUAAGAGUGGUAUCUUGGUGUGCUUUAGCAAUAAUAUCCUUUGGAAUGUUUUUUACUUUAUUGUAAAAAGCAAUUUUGAGGAUUUUUACUUGAGAAAAUAGAGKUCAUGCAUGCCUGACGACC